UACGUAGGUGGCAAGCGUUGUCCGGAUUUACUGGGCGUAAAGAGCGCGCAGGCGGUCGUUCAAGUCGAGUGUGAAAGCCCCCGGCUCAACUGGGGAGGGUCACGCGAUACUGAUCGACUCGAAGGCAGGAGAGGGUAGUGGAAUUCCCGGUGUAGUGGUGAAAUGCGUAGAUAUCGGGAGGAACACCAGUGGCGAAGGCGGCUCACUGGCCCGGUACUGACGCUGAGGUGCGAAAGCGUGGGGAGCAAACAGG
RNAcentral lists this ribosomal RNA (253 nucleotides) under uncultured bacterium. Its description in RNAcentral is "partial 16S ribosomal RNA". It matches the Rfam family "Bacterial small subunit ribosomal RNA", at positions 524 to 776 of the family's 1533-position model. The record is from RNAcentral.